ACACUUGUGUUGAUCUUUGCAAGGAACUACCUUUAUUAUACUACCCUUACAAUUUGAUUUUGUAUUCUCUCUAAGUGUUCGAUCCUUCUGCAUAGUGCUCAACUGUGUUUGGAUGAGAUAGCUGGUACAUGUUUGCCACCUAGUGGGCAUUGCCAGCAAUAACAUGUAUGUCCAGUGUCCAGUCUAACCAUAGCAAAGCAGUUUAGUGUUUUCACUCUCUUUCAUUCAGUCAUCCUCUGUUGCACGCCUAAUAAACAUUACCCAGGACAACAACUCUGGCAGAAAAGGCUGGAUCCUCAAAGGGUGUUCACACUAAAAAAAGAGCAUCACCUUUUCCUGUGCAAAAGUAGACAUGAGACAUCAGCGGAGUCAGCCUGGCAGAAGCAGUCAUAAGGAAUCAAGCAAAGCACAAGACUGUUUGGUUCUAUGACAGUCUGUCAAGGAUAUUUACUGAGUACUUGCAGGGUAUCGUGCAGCUGUGUUGAUGGGACUCCCACACAGCAGCCUGGCUAGCAGCCCCUCUGUGACUCAAAGCAACGAGAGACAUCCGGACCCACCAAUGUUUCAAGGGUCACAGGAGGCUGCUCACACAAACAGUCAGAAAUACAGAAGAGCAUGCAUUCAGAGGCGGCGGUAGUUAAUUCAUAGAGGAAAUGAAAAGAUACAGCAUCACGAUCUGGACUUUUGGCAGUUUCAUCUCAUCCUCCCAAAAAACGUAACUGAAACUUUCCGGGAUGAGUGCUAAUAACAAGCAGAGGCAGUGUGACCAACAGGAAAUCAGGGAAACUGGAAAUAGAUAUCCUGCAAGAUAUCAAUUUAAAAGUAUCUUCUUUCUUCAUGCAUGCAUAAUGAAUGCUGAUUUUCAUGUGCAUUACUUCUCUUUUUGCAUGGGUUUCAUGUGUAAUAAAAAUGUACUUAAACGUAUAGAAAUGUUAUUAUUGUGUAGGCCUACACACUUGCUGUGGUCCAAAAUACUCAGAACAGCGU
This is a long non-coding RNA of Esox lucius (northern pike), 987 nucleotides long. RefSeq lists it as uncharacterized. The transcript has 3 exons. The record is from RefSeq and is a predicted model, not a curated record. NCBI's taxonomy places the organism in Eukaryota, Metazoa, Chordata, Actinopteri, Esociformes, Esocidae.